GACGUAGGGGGCCAGCGUUGUUCGGAAUUACUGGGUGUAAAGGGUUCGUAGGCGGUGUGGCAAGUUGGGAGUGAAAUCUCUGGGCUCAACCCAGAGUCUGCUUCCGAAACUGCUGUGCUUGAGUGUGGGAGAGGCGCGUGGAAUUGCAGGUGUAGCGGUGAAAUGCGUAGAUAUCUGCAGGAACACCCGUGGCGAAAGCGGCGCGCUGGGCUGACACUGACGCUCAUGCACGAAAGCGUGGGGAGCAAACAGG
Molecule: ribosomal RNA, 253 nt
Filed under: uncultured bacterium
Lineage: Bacteria
Description: partial 16S ribosomal RNA
Rfam family: Bacterial small subunit ribosomal RNA
Source: RNAcentral